This 429-nucleotide ribosomal RNA is filed under the name Chloroflexota bacterium. RNAcentral's name for it is "Chloroflexi bacterium partial 16S ribosomal RNA". It matches the Rfam family "Bacterial small subunit ribosomal RNA", at positions 355 to 776 of the family's 1533-position model. Lineage: Bacteria; Bacillati; Chloroflexota. The record is from RNAcentral.
UAGGGAAUCUUCGGCAAUGGACGAAAGUCUGACCGAGCAACGCCGCGUGAGUGAAGAAGGUUUUCGGAUCGUAAAACUCUGUUGUUAGAGAAGAACAAGGACGUUAGUAACUGAACGUCCCCUGACGGUAUCUAACCAGAAAGCCACGGCUAACUACGUGCCAGCAGCCGCGGUAAUACGUAGGUGGCAAGCGUUGUCCGGAUUUAUUGGGCGUAAAGCGAGCGCAGGCGGUUUCUUAAGUCUGAUGUGAAAGCCCCCGGCUCAACCGGGGAGGGUCAUUGGAAACUGGGAGACUUGAGUGCAGAAGAGGAGAGUGGAAUUCCAUGUGUAGCGGUGAAAUGCGUAGAAAUAUGGAGGAACACCAGUGGCGAAGGCGGCUAUCUGAUCUGUAACUGACGCUGAGGCUCGAAAGCGUGGGGAGCAAACAGG